Molecule: long non-coding RNA, 773 nt
Organism: Gallus gallus (chicken)
Lineage: Eukaryota; Metazoa; Chordata; Aves; Galliformes; Phasianidae
Source: Ensembl
UUUAAAGAUGGUACUACAGAUAGGGCCUGGAGCAAGUGCAAUGUGCUGUCCAUAGGGACUACCAGACUCAAGCUGCUGGCAGUGAUGGUGUUUGCUGGAGAAUCCUGAUGCUGCACAUGAGUGACAGACAAUGUCCUGCUAAUGGAAUUGGUAUGGAUAAGUCCAUGCUGCAGCACGUCCAUCACAGCAGAGGAUGCUGCUCUGCUCUCCUACUUGGGAGUUUUUGGAGUGUCAGAACUUCUCUCCAAAGGAGGAAGAAGGCUUUGAACUUCAGAAGUGUUCCUAGACAGAACAGAAGCCCACUGGUGGAAGGUCGUCUUGCUGCUGCAGAUAGAGAUCUAAGCCUGUGGAGGACAGCUCGGACAGUCAUCACUAACUCAAAGACAAACACCGACACUCCUUCCUGCAGAGGCGUUACUUCAUUCUUCAGCAGAUUCACAGCUUCUAGAAGGCAAAAGCAUUGGCUUGUCCCUGAACCUUCUCUCUUCGCUGUUCAAAAUUGCAUUCUAAAGAUGACACAACAUUCUGCAACCAGACAUCAAUUUCAGGAUGCUCUCUGUAGCUGAGGCACAUCCUGGUUGAAUGUUAUUGUGAGUAAGCUCAUAUAAAGAGGAAUUUGUCUACUGAGAACUGAAUCAAGUGGUACUCACUGUAGCAAUGUGGAUCAAAACCCAUUAACACCUUAACUAGCUAUGAUUGUGUAUCAUGUAUAAAUAACAUUUAAAUAUUCAUCUAAUUAUGCAGUAUUAGUUAUCAUUCUUGUUUAUCUGACG